This 492-nucleotide ribosomal RNA is filed under the name uncultured bacterium. RNAcentral describes it as "partial 16S ribosomal RNA". It matches the Rfam family "Bacterial small subunit ribosomal RNA", at positions 29 to 507 of the family's 1533-position model. The record is from RNAcentral.
AGUGAACGCUGGCGGUAGGCCUAACACAUGCAAGUCGAACGGCAGCACAGUAAGAGCUUGCUCUUACGGGUGGCGAGUGGCGGACGGGUGAGGAAUACAUCGGAAUCUACUUUUUCGUGGGGGAUAACGUAGGGAAACUUACGCUAAUACCGCAUACGACCUACGGGUGAAAGCAGGGGAUCUUCGGACCUUGCGCGAUUGAAUGAGCCGAUGUCGGAUUAGCUGGUUGGCGGGGUAAAGGCCCACCAAGGCGACGAUCCGUAGCUGGUCUGAGAGGAUGAUCAGCCACACUGGAACUGAGACACGGUCCGGACUCCUACGGGAGGCAGCAGUGGGGAAUAUUGGACAAUGGGCGCAAGCCUGAUCCAGCCAUACCGCGUGGGUGAAGAAGGCCUUCGGGUUGUAAAGCCCUUUUGUUGGGAAAGAAAAGCAGCAGGUUAAUACCCCGCUGUUCUGACGGUACCCAAAGAAUAAGCACCGGCUAACUUCGUG